UACGGGGGGAGCAAGCGUUGUUCGGAUUUACUGGGCGUAAAGGGCGCGUAGGCGGUCGUGACAAGUCACUUGCGAAAUCUCCGGGCUUAACUCGGAACGGUCAAGUGAUACUGUCGGACUAGAGUACAGAAGGGGCAACUGGAAUUCUCGGUGUAGCGGUGAAAUGCGUAGAUAUCGAGAGGAACACCUGCGGCGAAGGCGGGUUGCUGGGCUGAUACUGACGCUGAGGCGCGAAAACGUGGGGAGCAAACAGG
This 254-nucleotide ribosomal RNA is filed under the name uncultured bacterium. RNAcentral describes it as "partial 16S ribosomal RNA". It matches the Rfam family "Bacterial small subunit ribosomal RNA", at positions 524 to 776 of the family's 1533-position model. The record is from RNAcentral.